AAGAAGAGGAAGAAGAAGUAGAAGAAAAAGAGAAAAGGAUAGAGUCCUAAUGCGAAAUUGACUGCGUGCAAACCAAAUUGAGGGUAAAAGAAAUGCGUUGGCGAAGUCGGUUCGGCAAUCCGUCGAGCCUACGCAAAGAUAUCGCCGAAAAGACGUUUUCGGCAUCAAUUGGCACAAGCGCGGGUCGCGGUUUUCGGGAAAGUGCGGGAAGUGAAUUUCUCGCGUUCAGGUAUCAGAUAAAGCCGAAAUACAAGUGUGGACUGAUUGGGUAGUGAGCAAGCAGUUUAGCAUCUGAUUAAGGGCCAUUUGAAGCUGUGAACUAGUUGAUCCAACAUCUAAUGAAGUAGAGGAUCAGUUGAUGCAGUGAACAAGUUUAUUCAACAUCAACUUACAAGUUGGAGCUGAAGUUGCAAUCCUUGUGGAACUUGGUGAAUUGCUUAAGCAGGGAGCCAGAAAUCAGCAAAGAAAAUCUGAAUUUGAGGUCGACGACGCACUAAUUACGGUAGAAGCCAUUCUAGUUCUAUUUACACCGAGACGCGCACGAUUGUUCUUGACACAGUUCGAGACGUGGAUUCUAGUUGUUGACACCACUACAGGUUUCAGUGAGAGCGUUGUGGCCGAAGAUCGAGGCAAGAGCCAGCAGCCUAGCUAGUGGACACCCGAGUACUAGUGGUAUACCAUUUUGGGUUCAUGUAUCAUCUAUUUUGAUGUACAGAGACAUGUAAAUGAAUGUGUAUAAAGCAUGUAAUAAUUAAAUGUUUCAGUUAUGUAAAGUUUUAAAUUACAGUGGAUUUCAUGUUUAGUUAAA
Molecule: long non-coding RNA, 808 nt
Organism: Ananas comosus (pineapple)
Lineage: Eukaryota; Viridiplantae; Streptophyta; Magnoliopsida; Poales; Bromeliaceae
Exons: 6
Source: RefSeq, a predicted model, not a curated record